CUACUACCACCUGGAUCUGGAGUCACAAUUCACGAGCAUUCUAGAAUUCACUACAAGUAAUAGUCUAAAAGAAAUACAACUGUUUGGAUGAAAGAAACAGUAAAACAUAUAAGAUUGAUGGGGACUUCAAGGUCUGUAAAUGCCGACAUAUCUACCUUGAGUCUCCGGAUAGCGAGUCCAACAGCUAAAAUCUCGAUCAACCCAAGCCGGUACCAAAAUCUGUACAGAAAGUGCAGAGUGAAGUAUCAGUACAACUGAUCCCAUGUACUGGUAAGUGUCGAGCCUAACCUCGACAAAGUAGUGACGAGGCUAAGACAAGACACCUAUAAAUCAACCUGUACAAUAGACAGGUAAUAUCAGGAGGGGGAAGCAUGCUGAGGGGAAUACGAGAUGAAGAACUACAAUAAAAUGAUGACUGGAACAGUCAAUCUAUUAUGAAUCAACAGGAAUAGUGAAUACAGUAAAGGAAAAAUUGCACGGCAUCACCCUUCAUGAUUUUACUCUCAACCUCACCAUAAAAUCAAUAGAAACGACACGACAUCACCCUUCGUGCAUUAACUCUCAUAUCAUGGCACGACAUCACCCUUCGUGCAUUAACACUCACAAUAUGGCACAACAUCACCCUUCGUGCAUUAACACUCACAAUAUAGCACAACAUCACCCUUCGUGCAUUAACACUCACAAUAUGGUACGACAUUACCCUUCGUGCAUUAACACUCUCCCUUGCCAUAAUACAAUGAACAAUUAACAACAGAGAGAUAGAAUAACAUGUACAUGCCUUACUUUAAUAUUUGGUUCCACAAUAUCAAUCUCAACUUUGAAAUAAAUACUCAAUUAUCACCAGAAGAUCCGUAAACAUGAUAAUAACGAUCAAUUUAACAACACUAGUCUGAACACGUAGUAAUUAGGCAUACGAAAGAGAUAAAAUGAGAAAAAUGGGACAAACAGGGAAAAAGAGGUAAAUUGGUGGCGCAUAAGUACUCGUCGCGUCACAUAUAUGCCGCUCACAUGAAUUUCACAUAGCAAAUAAUCUAAGGUUCCUAAUUCCCCCAAGUCAGAGUUAACCACGACACUUACCUCGCUCCGAAGGCCACUC
This 1096-nucleotide long non-coding RNA is filed under the name Nicotiana tabacum (common tobacco). Its description in RNAcentral is "long non-coding RNA (NTAB_LNC001822)". The record is from RNAcentral. Lineage: Eukaryota; Viridiplantae; Streptophyta; Magnoliopsida; Solanales; Solanaceae.